Molecule: non-coding RNA, 1381 nt
Organism: Oryzias latipes (Japanese medaka)
Lineage: Eukaryota; Metazoa; Chordata; Actinopteri; Beloniformes; Adrianichthyidae
Source: RefSeq, a predicted model, not a curated record
UGAGCAAUAGAAUCCUGUGAGUCAUGGAGGUACCAAAUUGAAGGUCUUCCAAACCCUGUUACCAUGGACAACAAGGAUGCAUUUGUUAAAAAUGCUAUAAUUUUCCAUGUUCUACUACAACGAAAGAGCUGCUACGAUCAGUUAGCUGAGGGGUUGGAAUGUUAUGAGCUCCUACCACUUCUGAAAGAGAACCUUCCCCUUCGGGUUCUUUUAGAGAUGCCCAAGGUUCGCAGUGAUCUUACAGCAGAUGUGGUUGCUACCCUUCUGAAGCCCAGCUACUCCGUUCUGGGAAGCAACAAACGACCAAAAGAAGAGCUGAUGGUGGUUAAGUUCAGAGAUUUCCUCAAUAGUGUUCAAGAAAGAGAAGUUGAGGAAUGUCUUCAUGGCAGAACCCUGACAGAAGCAGAGAAGACCUUUCUCAGAAAUUUAAAUCCUGGACAUAUUCUCGCCUUUGUGACUGGAAGUAGCAGAGUUCCAGCAGUUGGAUUUCAACCAGGUCCAAAGUUAAGCUUUGUUCAUAAUGAAAACAAGUACCUUCCAGUCGCUCAUACGUGCUCAAAUGAGCUUGAAAUCUUUGUAAAUUCCAAAAAUCUAGCUGACAAUGAUGAGUUUGAAUAUAACUUCCUAGUAGCGCUUAUGAAUGGAGCAAAUUUUAGUGCAGUUUAAAUAAACAUGAAAAUAUAUUCCAGGGAAAAGGGUCCAGGUGAGUAAGAAGGGAAAAUAAAGUGGAGAAGAGAAGAAAUGUAGAAGAAUGGAUACGUUAUUUGUAUUAAUCCAAAACACCUCAGGGAUGUUUUUCUGUUUUUUUUUUACUUCUGUUGUAUUAAUAAAUAUAAAAAAAUUGUCUUUGUAUGGAAUUUUGCUAUGUUUAAAUGUUAUUAAUAAUUUUAGUUAAUUCAUAAAAGCAGGAAAAUGUGCUACUUGUGUCUUUGUUGAGGAUCUGUUUCUGCUGUUUGAUGAGCAAAUUGUAUUUAAUUAAACAAAAACAGGAAAUGUUGAACGGUUUUCUUUUUUCUGUUUCCAUGUAAAGCCACUCAAGACAACAGUUAAAUGUGAAAAGUUACAAAAGAGGAAAAAUGGUAAAAUAUAGAUUUGGAUCUGUUUGUUCGGGAAACAUAUUUAUUUAUUUUCUAUGGGAAGGAAUUGGUAUUGUCUGUAGAAAAGUAUGCAUUUUCUGAACACCAGAGAGAGUACACCCAUUAUUUCAUGUUGAUCCAUUUCAAAUAAUAGGUUAAUUUUUGAAAUGUCAAUAGAUGUUUGUUUAGCAGAGCAACAUGGUUGUGUGUUGAAAGUGUUUGCAUACGUUGUCUCACAUGUAAAGCCUAUUGGAUGUUCAUUCUUUAUGGAAAAGGUUUCAAUUACAAUCUCAAAUGAUGAAACA